CAGCAGCCGCGGUAAUACGAAGGGUGCAAGCGUUACUCGGAAUUACUGGGCGUAAGGCGUGCGUAGGUGGUGGUUUAAGUCCGUUGUGAAAGCCCUGGGCUCAACCUGGGAAUUGCAGUGGAUACUGGGUCACUAGAGUGUGGUAGAGGAUAGUGGAAUUUCCGGUGUAGCAGUGAAAUGCGUAGAGAUCGGAAGGAACAUCUGUGGCGAAGGCGACUAUCUGGGCCAACACUGACACUGAGGCACGAAAGCGUGGGGAGCAAACAGGAUUAGAUACCCCAGUAGUCCCUGUCUCUUAUAC
RNAcentral lists this ribosomal RNA (301 nucleotides) under uncultured bacterium. RNAcentral's name for it is "partial 16S ribosomal RNA". It matches the Rfam family "Bacterial small subunit ribosomal RNA", at positions 509 to 807 of the family's 1533-position model. The record is from RNAcentral.